ACGCACUGGGCGGGGUUUCGCCGUUCCGAGGAAGUCGGGGAAGGGGGUCACUGCCAGAUGGAGGUUCCGGUUCCGGUGCAGUGGCUGGCUGGUUGCGUUGCUACGGCAGCGCGGUUGGUAGGUGCCUGGUUCUUGCCGUAAGGGUGGUAGCGGCGCUGGAGUAGGUCUGGGUCUAGGAGAGCGGCCCGGAGCGUCUGUAAUGCCGCAGCCGUUCGCGGCGGGAGCGUGGACCAAGCCGGGCUCUGGCGGCCAGGCCUGCCGAGGGCUACCGCGUCCGACCUGGCCCUGUGUCUCGGAGCCUCUCGCGGUCCCGCCGCCCAUGUGAGAGCAGAGGCCUGGUUUCCGCCCAUGGGCCGCGAUUACUUCACUAAAACAGCUUUUAUUUUAAAAUACUGUAAAGCGCUCUCGUCUGUGUGAUCGGGGCUUCGCUGACUUUCCGGCCUACUUAAGCCCCUGGGCCUAGGCCCAGGAAGGGUUUGUUGAACGGGGAGCUAAGAAGGGAAUUGGCUCGUUCGAUAAACGUUUUCUGCGCAGCUGUGGCGUGCAAGGCACGGGGCCGGUGCGGGACCUCCAGAGAGACCUGUGCCCAAAGCUUGAGGAAUGAGAAGCAGAUUCCUGGAUUCCAGGUAAAUCAGAGGAACAAACCUGAACAGAAAUAUACAGGAAGUGAUGUGAUGCUGAAGCUUAACGCUUAUUUCAGAAGUCUGGUAUCUGGUGCUCUUAACAGCAGAAACUAUAUUAUUUGCAAAAUCACCACGCUUUUACUUGUAUUAUAUAGUAAUUUUUAAAAAAAUAAAUACUGACAAUUUGUUCUUGAAA
Long non-coding RNA from Phacochoerus africanus (Common warthog), 819 nucleotides. RefSeq lists it as uncharacterized. The transcript has 2 exons. The record is from RefSeq and is a predicted model, not a curated record. Lineage: Eukaryota; Metazoa; Chordata; Mammalia; Artiodactyla; Suidae.